RNAcentral lists this ribosomal RNA (253 nucleotides) under uncultured bacterium. RNAcentral describes it as "partial 16S ribosomal RNA". It matches the Rfam family "Bacterial small subunit ribosomal RNA", at positions 524 to 776 of the family's 1533-position model. The record is from RNAcentral.
UACAGAGGGGGCAAGCGUUAUUCGGAAUUAUUGGGCGUAAAGGGCGCGUAGGCGGCUUGGCAAGUGGAUGGUGAAAUCCCUCGGCUUAACCGAGGAACUGCCAUCCAGACUGCUUUGCUUGAGGCCGGGAGAGGUGAGUGGAAUUCCCAGUGUAGCGGUGAAAUGCGUAGAUAUUGGGAGGAACACCAGUGGCGAAGGCGGCUCACUGGACCGGUACUGACGCUGAGGCGCGAAAGCGUGGGGAGCAAACAGG